CGCGAUUCGCCCUUCGGGGCGCACCAGGCGCGAAAACUCUACAAUGCAGGCAACUGCGAUAGGGGAACAUCGAGUGGCGUCCAUAUUGGAUGUCUGUCCUCCCGCCUAAAAAGCGGGAGUUAGCAAGGGCCGGGCAAGACCGGUGCCAGCCGCCGCGGUAAUACCGGCGGCUCGAGUGGUGGCCGAUAUUAUUGAGUCUAAAGGGUCCGUAGCCGGCUUUGCAAGUCUCUCGGGAAAUCCAGCGGCUUAACCGUUGGUCGUCCGGGGGGUACUACAUUGCUUGGGACUGGGAGAGGUAGGAGGUACUCAGGGGGUAGGAGUGAAAUCCUGUAAUCCUUUGGGGACCACCGGUGGCGAAGGCGUCCUACCAAAACAGGUCCGACGGUGAGGGACGAAAGCUAGGGGCACGAACCGGAUUAUAUACCCGGGUAGUCCUAGCCGUAAACGAUGCUCGCUAGGUGUCACAACAGUCGUGAACUGUUGUGGUGCCGUAUGGAAGCCGUGAAGCGAGCCACUUGGGAAGUACUACCGCAAGGUUGAAACUUAAAGGAAUUGGCGGGGGAGCAC
This 567-nucleotide ribosomal RNA is filed under the name uncultured archaeon. Its description in RNAcentral is "bacterial SSU rRNA". It matches the Rfam family "Archaeal small subunit ribosomal RNA", at positions 312 to 879 of the family's 1478-position model. The record is from RNAcentral.